RNAcentral lists this ribosomal RNA (253 nucleotides) under uncultured bacterium. Its description in RNAcentral is "partial 16S ribosomal RNA". It matches the Rfam family "Bacterial small subunit ribosomal RNA", at positions 524 to 776 of the family's 1533-position model. The record is from RNAcentral.
UACGUAGGGUGCAAGCGUUAAUCGGAAUUACUGGGCGUAAAGCGUGCGCAGGCGGUGAUGUAAGACAGGUGUGAAAUCCCCGGGCUUAACCUGGGAACUGCAUUUGUGACUGCAUCGCUGGAGUGCGGCAGAGGGGGAUGGAAUUCCGCGUGUAGCAGUGAAAUGCGUAGAUAUCGGAAGGAACAUCAGUGGCGAAAGCGACUUCCUGGACCAAUACUGACGCUCAUGUGCGAAAGCGUGGGGAGCAAACAGG